AAUCACUGUGGCCUGGAGGAUGGGACACCAUGAUUUGCAAGACUCUGGUCACAUGCCCACACCUGUGGCUUCUGAAGCAGAGCACCAGCAGUGACAGUCCCACCAGAACCGCAUGGAAUAGAAAACUGUGCAUUUCCCUAAGGAAAGGGAAUGCCAGAGAAGGGCAGAAGGGAAAUCAGGAAGACAAAACGGUAAAUUACCUACCACAAAUCCAAUUCAUUGGUAUUUUUCCACUUACACUUAACCAAGCAACGAUUUCUCCUGGUCCCAUAAUGGAAAAGAGGGUUUAUCUAGAUUCAUAUAUACAAGACUGAAGAGUGAAGAGAGACCCAGAGAAUGUUCUAAAAUCUGCCAGUUAGCAUAAUCACACAGAGAAAUCUCUGCUUCCAGAGGAGGAGCCAAGUUCAAGUCAGAGUGUCUUCAUGUUGGAGUGGACCUUUCCUCUAUCUGUCAACAGAAUGGAUAAAUUGUGGAAGAGUAAUAUCAGAAUACUACACAUCAGUAAAAAACAACAAACUUCUGCUACAAACAAUCAACAUCGAUGAAUCUUUCAGGCAAAAGGGCAAAGAAAAGUAUUGGUCUUCCAAAACAAAUAGAGGACGGAGCUGCUGCUGUUGCAUGGUGUCUAGAAACUCAGACAACUUCAUCAUUCCAUAUUUGCAUCCAAGAGAGAGAAAGAAAAACUACAAUCAUUUUCCAUUUACCCAUCAACCCAUCAACCUCCAAAUAAAGGCUAUUAAAAAACAAUCAAAGUGUGAAGAGGGCAGAAAAUGUGAUGAAGAGAUUCUUUGGAGAAAGUAGCUGCCACUGUUACCUUGGGAUCUGCCUAUAGUCCUCACAGAGCUUGCCCUUGCAGGAUAGAACAUAGGAGUCUGGGAGUCUGCAAGAAGAGACAGGGUCUCACUAUGUUGCCCCAGUUGGCCUUGAA
RNAcentral lists this long non-coding RNA (928 nucleotides) under Homo sapiens (human). Its description in RNAcentral is "HSALNT0377575". Lineage: Eukaryota; Metazoa; Chordata; Mammalia; Primates; Hominidae. The record is from RNAcentral.